Molecule: ribosomal RNA, 437 nt
Filed under: uncultured soil bacterium
Lineage: Bacteria
Description: bacterial SSU rRNA
Rfam family: Bacterial small subunit ribosomal RNA
Source: RNAcentral
AGAUUGAACGCUAGCGGGAUGCUCUACACAUGCAAGUCGAACGGCAGCGCGGACUUCGGUCUGGCGGCGAGUGGCGAACGGGUGAGUAAUAUAUCGGAACGUGCCCAGUAGCGGGGGGAUAACUACGCGAAAGCGUGGCUAAUACCGCAUACGCCCUACGGGGGAAAGGGGGAGAUCGCAAGACCUCUCACUAUUGGAGCGGCCGAUAUCAGAUUAGCUAGUUGGUGAGGUAAAGGCUCACCAAGGCGACGAUCUGUAGCUGGUUUGAGAGGACGACCAGCCACACUGGGACUGAGACACGGCCCAGACUCCGUACGGGAGCAGCAGGUGGGUAAUUUGGACAAGUGGGGAAACCCUGACUCCAGCCACUCCCGCGUGUGCGAUAGGAAGUCCGUUCGGGUUAGUAACGCGUACGUUUAGGCGUAGGAAGAAACGGU